RNAcentral lists this unclassified non-coding RNA (291 nucleotides) under uncultured fungus. Its description in RNAcentral is "sequence contains ITS1". The record is from RNAcentral. Lineage: Eukaryota; Fungi.
GGACUACUAGGGUUUCUAAUCCUGUUCGAUACCCACGCUUUCGUGCUUCAGCGUCAGUUGGGCGCCGGUAUGCUGCCUUCGCAAUCGGAGUUCUGCGUGAUAUCUAUGCAUUUCACCGCUACACCACGCAUUCCGCAUACUUCUCGCCCACUCAAGAACGCCAGUUUCAACGGCGGAGCGAGGUUGAGCCCCGCGAUUUUACCGCUGACUUGGCAUUCCGCCUACGCACCCUUUAAACCCAAUAAAUCCGGAUAACGCUCGCAUCCUCCGUAUUACCGCGGCUGCUGGCAC